CAGUCGCCGCGGUAAUACGUAGGGUGCAAGCGUUAAUCGGAAUUACUGGGCGUAAAGCGUGCGCAGGCGGUUUGUUAAGACAGAUGUGAAAUCCCCGGGCUCAACCUGGGAACUGCAUUUGUGACUGGCAGGCUAGAGUAUGGCAGAGGGGGGUGGAAUUCCGCGUGUAGCAGUGAAAUGCGUAGAUAUGCGGAGGAACACCGAUGGCGAAGGCAGCCCCCUGGGCCAAUACUGACGCUCAUGCACGAAAGCGUGGGGAGCAAACAGGAUUAGAUACCCGUGUAGUCCCUGUCUCUUAUAC
RNAcentral lists this ribosomal RNA (301 nucleotides) under uncultured bacterium. RNAcentral describes it as "partial 16S ribosomal RNA". It matches the Rfam family "Bacterial small subunit ribosomal RNA", at positions 509 to 807 of the family's 1533-position model. The record is from RNAcentral.